AACGAACGCUGGCGGCAUGCCUAACACAUGCAAGUCGAACGAGACCUUCGGGUCUAGUGGCGCACGGGUGCGUAACACGUGGGAAUCAGCCCUUUGCUUCGGAAUAACAGUUAGAAAUGACUGCUAAUACCGGAUGAUGUCGAAAGACAAAAGAUUUAUCGGCAAAGGAUGAGUCCGCGUAGGAUUAGGCAGUUGGUGGGGUAAAGGCCUACCAAGCCGACGAUCCUUAGCUGGUCUGAGAGGAUGAUCAGCCGCACUGGGGCUGAGACACGGCCCAGACUCCUACGGGAGGCAGCAGUGGGGAAUAUUGGACAAGGGGCGAAAGCCUGAUCCAGCAAUGCCGCGUGAGUGAGGAAGGCCUUAGGUUUGUAAAGCUCUUUUACCAGGGAUGAUAAUGACAGUACCUGGAGAAUAAGCUCCGGCUAACUCCGUG
This 433-nucleotide ribosomal RNA is filed under the name uncultured bacterium. RNAcentral describes it as "partial 16S ribosomal RNA". It matches the Rfam family "Bacterial small subunit ribosomal RNA", at positions 29 to 507 of the family's 1533-position model. The record is from RNAcentral.